RNAcentral lists this transfer RNA (88 nucleotides) under Pedobesia claviformis. Its description in RNAcentral is "tRNA-Ser". It matches the Rfam family "tRNA". From Rfam's summary of the family: Transfer RNA (tRNA) molecules are approximately 80 nucleotides in length. Their secondary structure includes four short double-helical elements and three loops (D, anti-codon, and T loops). The record is from RNAcentral. Lineage: Eukaryota; Viridiplantae; Chlorophyta; Ulvophyceae; Bryopsidales; Derbesiaceae.
GGAAAAGUGACAGAGUGGUUGAAUGUAUUGGUUUUGAAAACCAAAGUAGUUUUAAAACUAUCGGGGGUUCGAAUCCCUCCUUUUCCGC